GCGUAGGUGGUGGUUUAAGUCUGUUGUGAAAGCCCUGGGCUCAACCUGGGAAUUGCAGUGGAUACUGGGCGACUAGAGUGUGGUAGAGGGUAGUGGAAUUCCCGGUGUAGCAGUGAAAUGCGUAGAGAUCGGGAGGAACAUCCAUGGCGAAGGCAGCUACCUGGACCAACACUGACACUGAGGCACGAAAGCGUGGGGAGCAAACAGGAUUAGAUACCCUGGUAGUCCACGCCCUAAACGAUGCGAACUGGAA
RNAcentral lists this ribosomal RNA (253 nucleotides) under Pseudomonas putida. RNAcentral describes it as "partial 16S ribosomal RNA". It matches the Rfam family "Bacterial small subunit ribosomal RNA", at positions 569 to 821 of the family's 1533-position model. The record is from RNAcentral. Lineage: Bacteria; Pseudomonadati; Pseudomonadota; Gammaproteobacteria; Pseudomonadales; Pseudomonadaceae. RNAcentral also lists the same sequence under 1 other name.